CCUCAGUGCCCGUCUCCCAGUCACCCCAACCCCCAGUCCACCUCCCUUUCUACCACCCCUUGUUCGUUUCCCAGAGUUAGGUGUCUCUUAUGUUCUGUCUCCCUCAUUGAUAUUUCCCACUGUUUUCUCUCCUUUCCCCUUUAUUCCCUUUCAUUAUUUUUUAUAUUCCCCAAAGGAAUGAGACCAUAUAAUGUUUGUCCUUUUCCGAUUGACUUACUUCACUAUUUGCUUCAACGUGGAUGGAACUGGAAGGUAUUAUGCUGAGUGAAGCAAGCCAGCCAUUUGGAUUGAAGAGGCUAGCCAACUCAGUCUGACACUCAAGCCCAUGCUUUCUCACUGAAUUGGUCAUUUAUAUGAGUUGAUUGAUCUGCCCAUUGAGUCAUAACAGUUGAGCCAGAUACUCAUGCAGAUUUAGUGAUAUGGCUAACACCUGCAUUGUGAGCUAAGUCAAGGUGGGCCCCUUGGAAACAUAGAUAUUUGAAGACUGUUCUUUCCUAUCACGUUGCUCUUUGUUUUGUCACAAAGUGACAUCUGUGACAGUCCUACCCCAACUUGAACAUAUGUUAUCCCUAUAAGCAAUGCACUCUACUCUUCUGAAGACCUCUGAAACCAAUCUGUCCCACCAGAUCAUGAUGUAGAUUACACCUAGGAAUAUGACACAGAAGACUUCCUCGCUCGGAGUACUCAAUGAAGUGAGAUGGAUGCAACAAAUAGCCAGGAAGCAUCAUGUUUCCAAAGCUAGUAUCUCGGCUCAUUUCAUCAUUGAGGAGGGCAGUGAAAUGCUCCAGAAGGACCUUGAUUUCUAUGGAAGAAGCUUGCAUGAGCAAAACCAGUUUGUCCAGAAAUGUAUAGAUGAACACCUUCAUUUACUUCUGAGAUCCUGGGUUCUCAUGGCCCCUGUGCUGAUGUUGCUGCUCCUGUUGGAGCAGAGACUGUGUGUGGGAGAUGGGCACCCCCAGAUGUACUUCAUGGGGCUCAAACAAAUUCACCUUCUACAGUGUUUAAAAAGCAAGAUAUUUCCCAUAAAAUCUCCAUCUCUGGAGUCUCAAGGAGAGAAACAAAAGCUCUCCCAGUAUUCAGCCCAUAUUCUUAAAUGGUAACAACUGGCUGGAGCUGAGGAAUGGCUGCCUCUUUGGGUCAGGAUGUGCAUUCAAGUUUGUCACCAUCCCAAUUGCUUGUUGUUGCAAGGGUUACAAGCUAGGUGACAUUGAAACCCGGCUAACACAGUUUGUUUGGUCAGUAUAACCCCUAAAUUAUUAUUAGUAUGUAUUUUUUUAGAAAGUUGUAAUGCUUAUGGUCAGCUUUGAAACUCUGCAGUUCCACUGGUCAACCUUCCCAUUGCUCUAGACCUGGCCAGAUUCAUGUACUUCUACUGCCGGCCUUGCAGGGUAGCAGCCCUCCCCCUUGUCCUACCCCAUGUCCCCUCAGCCUGCUGGAACUCCCCUGAGGCCCACAAAGGUGGUUUCCAGCAGACACACAGCUGUCCACCUCAAAAGCCUGUGUCUCUCUCUCCCUUUCAUUGCCUAAGGGCUUCCCCCUCAACUCUAUGCGCAUUCUGCAGGCACAAAGAGGUAGUGCUGGGCAUAGGUGCCCAUGCUGUAGCCCUCCUGCUGCGGGGUGGGGGGUGUGGGGCGGUGGGAGGGUAGGGUGGGGGGGUGGUGUUGGCAGUGGAAGCACACCUCAGUCACCCCAAUACCAGGUGGAAUGCUUUUGGAUGCAUUUCACAUGGUUUCUCAGAGGGUCCCCCGUGCAAGGGAGCCCCACUGCCCACAGCAAGAAUCCACUCAUGAACUCAUCCUUCGUGGCUUUUCUCCCUUAGAGAGAGCUGAGACCACUCUUCUUAACUUGAGCUUCCUGGGAUUGCCUCCCAAAUCCACUGUGUGCCCCAAGCUUUGAGCUCGGGUUGCUACCCUGGGAAACUACCCUAAGACAUUAUUUAAAUAUAUUCUACUGUUGAGGGCAUCUUAACAGCUACACACUGUGAGAACGGCUAUCGGGGUUGGGAUGGUUCUGGGAUCCAUGUCACGGAAGGAAAGCUUGUAGGAAUUGUGCAGAGAAGACUUAAAAUAAGCCUGAUAACUAUAGUCACAUUUAGGGGGAAAAUGUUCUCUGAAAAGAGAGAUAAAAUGGACAGGUUAGCUCUAGAGGGCGAGAUUAAGACCAGGAAAUUUGACCCAGGCAGAUGGUAGGUUUAAUAUAAGGACACAUUUUUAAUCUUUAGAGCACACUAAAAUGGAAUGGACUGCUUUGUACAGAGGUUCACAUUUCCUUUCAGAGAUUUGAAGUAACGAAAUUCCCUUACUUUACAAAGACCCUUAUAAUCCAUGUUGCCCACACGCAUUUAUUUAAUAUCACAAACAUGGGACAUACAAGGGAAUCUUGCAGUUUAUCGGACUGAGUGGCUUGUCGGAUGUUUCUUUUAAGGUGCAAGGAAGGGAAAAGAAAGAGAUAAAGCUGGCAUUUGGUGAUGGGAGUAGUCCCCCUCCCAUUAUAGGGAUAUAAUUUAGCACCCCUAUAAAACCUAGGAAUGCCUCAAAUCAAAAUGCAUUUUUUUCUCUUCACACUGAGAAUCUCUUAAGUGCACAGGAACACAUGAGAUCAGGUGAAUUAUCUAUUAUCGGAAAGAUAUUUACGAUGCCUAAGGUGGAAGGGCACGAUUCCUAUCUGCUCCUCACAGGAACUCAAACACGAUAGUAAGCCAGCAGGGAGGAAAUAGCUGAAAUAUUUGGAGGAACAGACCCUCCCUGCCAGAGGUUACAGUGAAUUCAAGUGUUUUCCACUUCUGCCCUUCUUCAAAGCUACAAAGCAAUGAGGUAGUCAAAUUAAUGAAGUAUUGUAAUAGAAAUGGAAAGAUUAGAGUGUGCCGAAGAGUGGAAUACAGUUUUGUUCUUAAGAGGCACGAUAGAUAGGAGAGAAGCACUUUGAUGUAAGAGGCUGGCUGGAGGGGCUAUUCAGCUUCAGUGUCACCAAAAAAAAAAGGAAGGAAAAAAGAAAAAAGAAAUGAAAAGAAAGAAAGAAAAAUCAGAAUGGGCUAGCAUGAUUUUGUUAUCAUUACAGAUAGAUAACGCGUGAGAAAAUAGACAUUAGCAGGUUGUAAUUCAAUGGAGGGUUUCAGAUAAAUGUAAGCUAUGAGAGCAGGGCUCUAUCCAGCGUACACUUUAUCAGAACCUCCUGUGGGUUGAAUUACAGCUCCCAUAAUGGCCAGUGGUCUUCCCAUUUAUAUUUAUGGAUUCCAGUCCUCCCAACAAAAGUAAAAAAAAUAAAUAAAUAAAUGGAAAUUUGCUACCA
This 3288-nucleotide long non-coding RNA is filed under the name Vulpes vulpes (red fox). RNAcentral describes it as "lncRNA (ENSVVUG00000010270.1)". The record is from RNAcentral. Lineage: Eukaryota; Metazoa; Chordata; Mammalia; Carnivora; Canidae.